RNAcentral lists this ribosomal RNA (460 nucleotides) under uncultured bacterium. RNAcentral's name for it is "partial 16S ribosomal RNA". It matches the Rfam family "Bacterial small subunit ribosomal RNA", at positions 338 to 795 of the family's 1533-position model. The record is from RNAcentral.
CUUACGGGUGGCAGCAGUGAGGAAUAUUGGUCAAUGGACGAGAGUCUGAACCAGCCAAGUAGCGUGAAGGAUGACUGCCCUAUGGGUUGUAAACUUCUUUUGUCUGGGAGUAAAAUGUUCGACGUGUGGGAUUUUGUAUGUACCAGGUGAAUAAGCAUCGGCUAACUCCGUGCCAGCAGCCGCGGUAAAACGGAGGAUCAGAGCGUUAUCCGGAUUUAUUGGGUUUAAAGGGAGCGUAGGCCGGCUUUUAAGGUAGCGGGGAAAGUCGGCGGCUCAACCGUUGACUUGCAGUUGAAACUGGAUGCCUUGAGUGCACACAGGGAAGCCGGAAUGCAUGGUGUAGCGGUGAAAUGCUUAGAUAUCAUGAAGAACUCCGAUCGCGAAGGCAAGUUUCCGGGGUGCAACUGACGCUGAGGCUCGAAAGUGCGGGUAUCAAACAGGAUUAGAUACCCGGGUAGUC